RNAcentral lists this ribosomal RNA (292 nucleotides) under uncultured bacterium. RNAcentral's name for it is "partial 16S ribosomal RNA". It matches the Rfam family "Bacterial small subunit ribosomal RNA", at positions 505 to 796 of the family's 1533-position model. The record is from RNAcentral.
GUGCCAGCAGCCGCGGUAAUACGUAGGGGGCAAGCGUUGUCCGGAUUUAUUGGGCGUAAAGAGCGUGUAGGCGGCCAGGUAGGUCAGCUGUGAAAACUCGAGGCUUAACCUCGAGACGCCGGCUGAAACCCUCUGGCUAGAGUCCGGAAGAGGAGAGCGGAAUUCCUGGUGUAGCGGUGAAAUGCGCAGAUAUCAGGAAGAACACCCGUGGCGAAGGCGGCUCUCUGGGACGGUACUGACGCUGAGACGCGAAAGCGUGGGGAGCGAACAGGAUUAGAUACCCUUGUAGUCC